AUUGAACGCUGGCGGCAGGCCUAACACAUGCAAGUCGAGCGGAUGAAGGGAGCUUGCUCCUGGAUUCAGCGGCGGACGGGUGAGUAAUGCCUAGGAAUCUGCCUGGUAGCGGGGGAUAACGUCCGGAAACGGGCGCUAAUACCGCAUACGUCCUGAGGGAGAAAGUGGGGGAUCUUCGGACCUCACGCUAUCAGAUGAGCCUAGGUCGGAUUAGCUAGUUGGUGGGGUAAAGGCCUACCAAGGCGACGAUCCGUAACUGGUCUGAGAGGAUGAUCAGUCACACUGGAACUGAGACACGGUCCAGACUCCUGCGGGAGGCAGCAGUGGGGAAUAUUGGACAAUGGGCGAAAGCCUGAUCCAGCCAUGCCGCGUGUGUGAAGAAGGUCUUCGGAUUGUAGAGCACUUUAAGUUGGGAGGAAGGGCAGUAAGUUAAUACCUUGCUGUUUUGACGUUACCAACAGAAUAAGCACCGGCUAACUUCGUG
RNAcentral lists this ribosomal RNA (484 nucleotides) under uncultured bacterium. RNAcentral's name for it is "partial 16S ribosomal RNA". It matches the Rfam family "Bacterial small subunit ribosomal RNA", at positions 30 to 507 of the family's 1533-position model. The record is from RNAcentral.